GUGACAGCUAGGUAGGUGUACGAUAUGUGGCACCCCUGCACGGUUCGCGCUGUUAGGUGGGAUCAGCGUGACAGAUGGCUCGCUGGACCGAUAUGUUGGACACAGUAUGUGUGCAGUUCUUACUUGUUGUGCAGCUGGACUGCACACAACCAACCUGUAACAACAAGGACAACAAUACAACAGUUAAAACUUUCAGCAUCAGCAUCCUUGCAUCCUAUGCAUCCGUAGGCGCGUAUGUAGCCCCCUACUGCCCUCGCCCCUCGGCCCUACCGAUGGCCCUACCCACGGCGGCACAGCAUCCCAUGCGCCCAGCUUGCUAGCCCAGCAGGUCCACAAAAAAGCAACCCUAGAUUCCCUCAAACAUGAACACAGCAUACACCGCUACACACACCGUCCACAAAGGCACACACGCAUGCGCCCAGACACACACUGAAACAUACUUAUAUCCCCCGGUACUAUUGGUGCCAAGUAGCAUGUACAGUAGUAUACUGCAAAACAAAAUGCGUAAGUAACGACAGUGUCUCCAGUUCUCCACAUACAUAUUGACGUGCGUUGCGGGACUAAUGCGUACGUAGCCAUCCUGAUGCAUGGUCUCGAAAAUGAAACAAACUUGAGUAAACCCGUACGAGCAGCUGCGCUGUCUUGAAGACACACAGCAGUGAUGAAGCGCGCGGGGCCAGCCUGCCUGUGCUGCCUGUGUUGACGCAAGUGACGUAUGCCCGGGGCAGGCAGCGCGACCUCAAUGGCACAUACGCCCAGGGCCACCCCUGCGCAGGCGGCUCUAUCUAGGUUGACGUGCCGCGCGCGCCUAGCAAGUGGUGGUAACUCAGCAGCAGUGCACCGCAGUGCGGUGUCAGGCGCACGCUAGCUGGAAUUAUGUAGCUACGUUCAAGUCCAGGCAGCCUCGCCAAAACCGCCGGCACCCAGCAAUUCCAAGUGCGAGCAGCCUGUGCCGCGCCGCCUUCCCCAUCCCGUGAGGGAUUGUUAACUGAUGCGCCAAUCACACGCCCACUUGAUAAGCACUUGAACAGGCUGUGGCGCGCACAGUGCAGCGGAAGGAUAGGAAUACAACCGCGCAUAGUGGAGCGCGCGCGCAAGUCCGGACUCAAGGCUUGUGGCCUGUUGCUUCGCAAGGGCGGGUCAAUGGCUGGUUAGGAUAACUUCAACUCAUCAGAACAAAAUCCGGAUUGGUUGACAAAAGCGUGUACAUGCCCUUCUGGGUUGGUUGACACAAGCGUGUACGUGCCCUCCACCCCAUAGCCCACUCCGAAACAGCAGAACCCCAGACAGCAACGCCCGUCCACCCAAUGCUAGUGCCCUGCUGACUCUCGAUGCCUACGUCCUUGUCCAGUCGCGUCACUUACAAGAAACGCUUGAGUUUAAGGUGUCUAGGCGUCUUGUGUUGGCCCUCAGGUCCGCCUUCACCUCUGCUAUGUCCACCUUCAGGUCCUGGAAACCCUGCUGGAUCGCCAUAUAUAGUGCUAUUGCCGUAAUAACUGUAGACAAUACAUGCGUGAAGACAAGCCCAGUGUAGCCCUGCACGUCGAGCCGCGACCGCUGCUGAAUGGAAUCCAGCUUCUUCGCGCGCGGCGCCAGUGCAAUGACGCCACAGCGCGCGCGAUUAGCCGUUACAAAUGCGGGCGCCCGCUGGCGCCUCGCAACGUGCGCAGCGGUGUGCGCCCCACCGAGCGAAACCAUGUAUGCUAAGCUUGCGAGCAGUUCGAGGCGUUGGCGUGCUACUACUUGUAAGCGGUACGUUGGGUGUUAUGGCGAAGUACUCGCUGAGAUCCUGGCCAGUAGUACCUGCAGGGGACGGCCUCAUCGCACUUGGCCAACGGGGCUGCACAGUGCACGGCAGACCCUUCCACCCCCUUACUCCUUGGGGCAUCAAACCCCCCCUCCAUUCUUAAGGGCAUCGACCCCCUUCAGUUUCAAAGUUCAGGGUGGGGGCAAAACCCCUACUGUCCGCGCAGCUGUUAAGAAUUCACUGCAGCAUCUCCCGUAACAUGCUAAAUUGCCACGUUGCAGCCCAUGAAUUGUUGCCCACGGCGUUCAAACGUACACCAGGCCCCCCAUACACACGCUGACACACAAGGCUGACGCGCAAAUACAACCACCACCUGACUAACCACACGGAAAACCCCGCAAGUAGUACAGUAGUAAACUGCAAAAGCAAUGGCGGUGUCUCCAGUUCUCCACAUAGCCAUCCUGCAUGGUCUCAAAAUUUAACAUACAUAAGACAACCCGUGCGAGCAGCUGAUAGACUGUUAGCAGCGAUGAAACGCUGCAGGGGUCGGUUCAUACAGGCACGGCCCGCCACGCGUGCAACCACAUCCCGCUGUCAGGCACAAACACAAACACAGCCAGCAAUGAACCAAACGGCCGAAAAUUCUCUAGCCACAACACUGCUCACUGCUGCGGUCUACCAUUUUACUGCGCUCGCCGGCAAAGACCCUAACUAGACACCGGCCGGCCUCAACCUGCGCGCUGGCUUGGGCGGCGCCGCGCUCUCCUCCUCCACGUGGCCUUGCUCGCCCCCUCCACUACGCACAUGCUCGCCGCAACUGCCGCCGCUGCCGCCAGGCCAUGUGCCGCUGCUGCCCCUGCUGCUGCUGCUGCCGCCGCCGCCGCCGCUGCACUGGUGGGGCCAGGCCCGCCACCACCACCAUCGCCGCCGCCGCCACCGUGGCGCAGGGCCGCAGGUCGCGCUCUACCAAGCAGCAUCUCCAUCAGCGCGUGCCGCGUCUUCGUCGCACAGUUGGCGCCGCGGCCGCCCUGCAGUGAAAUGUUCAACCGGACGGCACCUGAGCCUGUCUGAUACCUGACCCGGCCCCCUGAACCGGACUAAAACUGUGCCGGACUUACCCACAUAGUCCCGCAGUGUUGGCACACUUGGACAUCGCGGGCACGCGAGCCACCAAACGGAAUCACCACUUGCAGGCAGCGCUGCCCGUCACCCCGCAGAUGGCUCGUGCCUGUCAACCGUAUUGGUCUAGUCGCGCCACUUGCGACCAAAGCUGGCGUUCAAAUUGUCGAGCCUGCCACUGUUGGCCCUUAUGUCUGUCUUCAUGUCUGUUAUGUCCGCCUUCAGGUCUGCUAUGUCCCCCUUCAGGUCCUGGAAACCCUGCUGGAUAUCGCCCUGGAUCGCCAUAUAUAGUGCUAGUGCCGUUGCAGCUGUAGCGAAUACAUGCGUGAAGACAAGCCCAGAG
This 3209-nucleotide long non-coding RNA is filed under the name Chlamydomonas reinhardtii. RNAcentral describes it as "long non-coding RNA (CREI_LNC000423)". The record is from RNAcentral. Lineage: Eukaryota; Viridiplantae; Chlorophyta; Chlorophyceae; Chlamydomonadales; Chlamydomonadaceae.